Molecule: ribosomal RNA, 383 nt
Filed under: uncultured eukaryote
Lineage: Eukaryota
Description: partial 18S ribosomal RNA
Rfam family: Eukaryotic small subunit ribosomal RNA
Source: RNAcentral
CAAUAGCGUAUAUUAAAGUUGUUGCAGUUAAAAAGCUCGUAGUUGGAUUUCUGGUGGGAGCGAUCGGUCUGGCGCUUAGCGCGAGUACUUGCAUCGUCUCCGGCCAUCCUUGGGGAGAGUCUGUCUGGCAUUAGGUUGUCGGGCAGAGGAUCCUCAUCGUUUACUGUGAAAAAAUUAGAGUGUUCAAAGCAGGCUUAUGCCGUUGAAUAUAUCAGCAUGGAAUAAUAAGAUAGGACUUUGGUACUAUUUUGUUGGUUUGCGCACCAAAGUAAUGAUUAAUAGGGACAGUUGGGGGUAUUCGUAUUCCGUUGUCAGAGGUGAAAUUCUUGGAUUUACGGAAGACGAGCUACUGCGAAAGCAUUUACCAAGGAUGUUUUCAUUAA